CCUACGGGAGUCAGCAGUGAGGAAUAUUGGGCAAUGGGCGCAAGCCUGACCCAGCAACGCCGCGUGAAGGAUGACGGCUCUCGGGUUUUAAACUUCUUUUAACAGGGGAGCGAAGAAGACGGUACCUCUUGACUCAGCACCGGCUAACUCCGUCCCAGCAGCCGCGGUAAUACGUAGGUGGCAAGCGUUGUCCGGGUUUACUGGGUGUAAAGGGCGUGCAGCCGGGAAGAGAAGUCAUAUGUGAAAUCCCGCGGCUCAACCGCGGAACUGCAGUGGAAACUGUUUUUCUUGAGUAGCGGAGAGGUCAUCGGAAUGCCUUGUGUAGCGGUGAAAUGCGUAGAUAGAAGGAAGAACACC
RNAcentral lists this ribosomal RNA (357 nucleotides) under uncultured bacterium. Its description in RNAcentral is "partial 16S ribosomal RNA". It matches the Rfam family "Bacterial small subunit ribosomal RNA", at positions 338 to 710 of the family's 1533-position model. The record is from RNAcentral.